Molecule: ribosomal RNA, 498 nt
Filed under: uncultured bacterium
Lineage: Bacteria
Description: partial 16S ribosomal RNA
Rfam family: Bacterial small subunit ribosomal RNA
Source: RNAcentral
AUUGAACGCUGGCGGCAUGCCUUACACAUGCAAGUCGAACGGUAACAGGUCUUCGGAUGCUGACGAGUGGCGAACGGGUGAGUAAUACAUCGGAACGUGCCUAGUAGUGGGGGAUAACUACUCGAAAGAGUGGCCAAUACCGCAUGAGAUCUACGGAUGAAAGCAGGGGAUCGCAAGACCUUGUGCUACUAGAGCGGCCGAUGGCAGAUUAGGUAGUUGGUGGGAUAAAAGCUUACCAAGCCGACGAUCUGUAGCUGGUCUGAGAGGACGAUCAGCCACACUGGGACUGAGGCACGGCCCAGACUCCUACGGGAGGCAGCAGUGGGGAAUUUUGGACAAUGGGCGAAAGCCUGAUACAGCAAUGCCGCGUGCAGGAUGAAGGCCUUCGGGUUGUAAGCUGAUUUUGUACGGAGCGAAAAGCCCCGGGUUAAUACCCUGGGGUCAUGACGGUACCGUAAGAAUAAGCACCGGCUAACUACGUGCCAGCAGCCGCCGUAA